Homo sapiens (human) is the source of this 579-nucleotide long non-coding RNA. Ensembl annotates it as family with sequence similarity 27 member C. Its record names the gene FAM27C. Lineage: Eukaryota; Metazoa; Chordata; Mammalia; Primates; Hominidae. The record is from Ensembl.
UGCAAUUUCGUCUGGAGUCCCCAGACCCCUCCUCAUCCUUCCCAGGGUUGCUCUGAGGCCAUUCCUUGUCAUCUAGGAGGGGUCUACAUAAAAGCAUUUAUAAACACCUCCAAAUGGGAGCCAGGCGUGCCCACCUUUGGAGCACUUUUCUCUACUGCAAAUUUAUCUACUGCUCGUGAAAUCUCUGGAUUUAACUCUGAUGAAAGACUGGAGGCUGAAGGAGAACUUCAAUAUCAUAUAUUUUAAAGGUUGAUUCACAGUUUGGAGCAAGAAUUAAAGAACCACGAACUUCAAGGUAAAACGGGCAACGGCGUUGGGGCAAGCCUCUCUGCAUCUGCGUGUCCAGCCUCUCCUGCGUGCCAGAAGUUCCCAGGCAGGAGUGUGGUGGGACAUCCGGCUGGGUCUGGAUAAAGUGCUUCAUGCCUGUAAUCCAAGCACUUUGAGAGGCUGAGGCGGGUGGAUGGCUUGAGCCCAGGAGUUUGAGACCAGCAUGGAAAACAUAGAGAAACCCCAUCUCAAUAUAAGAAGAAGAAGAAAAAGAAAAAAAAAAUCAAAAACGAAAACAACACAAAUUUUAGA